RNAcentral lists this ribosomal RNA (471 nucleotides) under uncultured bacterium. Its description in RNAcentral is "bacterial SSU rRNA". It matches the Rfam family "Bacterial small subunit ribosomal RNA", at positions 26 to 518 of the family's 1533-position model. The record is from RNAcentral.
AGGACGAACGCUGGCGGCGUGCUCAUACAUGCAAGUCGAACGAUAAGGCACCUUCGGGUGUACAUAAGUGGCGGACGGGUGAGUAAUAUGUAGAGAAUCUGCCCUAGAGAGUGGGACAACAGUUGGAAACGACUGCUAAUACCGCAUAUGAGCGUACCUGAAAUGGUAUUCUUGAAAACUCCGGUGCUCUGGGAUGAGUCUGCAUCUGAUUAGCUAGUUGGGGGUGUAAUGGACCACCAAGGCGACGAUCAGUAGCUGGUUUGAGAGGAUGAUCAGCCACAAUGGGACUGAGACACGGCCCAUACUCCUACGGGAGGCAGCAGUAGGGAAUUUUGCGCAAUGGGGGAAACCCUGACGCCAGCAACGCCGCGUGACCGAUGAAGCCCUUCGGGGUGUAAAGGUCUGUCAGUGGGGACGAAUAUUGACGGUACCCACAGAGGAAGCAUCGGCUAACUCCGUGCCAGCAGCCGC